RNAcentral lists this small RNA (166 nucleotides) under Croceibacterium mercuriale. RNAcentral's name for it is "Kirrobacter mercurialis Manganese sequence". It matches the Rfam family "Manganese Mn2+ riboswitch aptamer (yybP-ykoY)". Rfam says of the family: This RNA was originally discovered in E. coli during a large scale screen and was named SraF. Lineage: Bacteria; Pseudomonadati; Pseudomonadota; Alphaproteobacteria; Sphingomonadales; Erythrobacteraceae. The record is from Rfam by way of RNAcentral.
UUGGGGAGUAGCUACCCGCUUCAGGUGGGGCCAUCGUCAACACGCUUGAUCCUUCAGGAUCGUGGCGGUGGCAGCAAACGGACGUUUGCCCAGCAAGACCAAUGACGCUGCAUUCCGCUUUGAGGCCGGGGGUGCGUGCGUUAUUUGGUUAUCGGCCCCCGAGAUU